This is a long non-coding RNA of Mustela lutreola (European mink), 2664 nucleotides long. RefSeq lists it as uncharacterized. The transcript has 3 exons. The record is from RefSeq and is a predicted model, not a curated record. Lineage: Eukaryota; Metazoa; Chordata; Mammalia; Carnivora; Mustelidae.
CCUAGACGAAGGAAAAAAAUACAUUACUGAAUUGUAUCUCUACAGCUUUCUUUCUUCUACUUCAACAUGCAAACAAACUCCACUGCGAUGUUUCUGUUUUGGGUUCCCUGUGUGCUCUGCAGGGAAAUCCUUCCUGUCACAUCACAGGACCUUGGUCCCGAUCCUCAGGAAGCGUAAUGGAGUUACCACCAGCCUACGUCAGGUGGGAUCUCAUUCCAGGAACAAGGGGAGAAGGAUUAGAGACCUGAGAGGAGGUAGCAGCUGUUCCUGGCUACGGCCAGACUAACCUGAAUAAAGGAGAUGAAACUCUCAUCUCUGUUGCAAGGUAUUUCAGUAUUCCCAACACUUAACUUUCAAUCCAAAGUAAUCAUACAAGUUACCCAGAGAACCCACUCGCUGUCUCAGAGAUCAUCUUAAUUUUUCCUCAAUUUCUGCCAACAAUCGCUUUUAAGGCUGCACACCUGGGGCCCUGCACAGGUGCUCUAACCAAGGCCAGGGAAGAAAAACUGAGCAAUUACCCGGUCACUUAUGAUCUCAGAGAGCCCCCUACAGAACAGGGGGAAUUAGAACAGAACUUCAGAUCUUGGGUUUCUUUUUCUUUAUGAACUCAAAAUUCUUCCACAUCAUUUAAUUGGAACUUUUAAGAUACUCUGUUAAAACUGGUAGAGAUGGGUGUAAUUAUAUCCAUUUUAAGAAAAUAAACAGAAAGGCACAGAAAGUCUCAUGACUCACUGGAACAGCGCAUAGUCAGCAAACAAGUCACGAGGGCAUUCUGACCCCCAAAUCACAAGGUCACAGGAUUAUAGGAUUAACCAGAGAACACACACAAGUGAUCACUGUAGCUCCUGCCAUCCUAGGAUGUUAUCAAUUUAGAGAGACAGGAAGCUCUGUUUCCUCUGCAAGCCAGAGUGGAAGUACCCACAGGAAAUGUACACGGGUACCUCCUCCAACCAAAUUUCUAAACCCAACGGUAGUUCAUUUGCUCAGGCAUGUCUCUAUCUCUUCUUCAAUUGUAAGCACCUCUAGAAUGCAGUGUCUCCCUAUAGCUCUGCAUAGCCACUCCCCCAGGUGUUUUUCAAUCCUGGCUGUAGAUUCAAAUCACGUGACACUUAGCCUCACCCAGAGACUUUGAUCUAAUCUGUUUGGGGAGAUGCCUGGGCAUAUGCAAUCCUUUAGAGACUCACGUAAACGAGAUGAUUGUUAAUAUGCAGCCAAACUUGAGUCCAACACCAGAGCUUUGGAUAUGAUGAGAACACAAAAUAUGUUUGGCUGAUGCGGUCUGGGAUCCCCACUGUACCCCAGUGUGCAACAUAGGUAAGUGCUAUGGAAUCCACACGGGCCCUAAUCAUUAUUGAAAAACAAAACAAAACAAAACAGGGGACCAAGCCUCAACAGUUCUGCUGGAAACAAAUGAAGAAUGGAAUGACUCUGAAAUCCUGGGCGCCGUUCCUCUCAAGUAUUGGCUUCUGGAAGACACAGCAACAGAAUAUCCCCAACCCGUAUCUGCAUGGCUUGAGCAAAAUGACAAUCUCCCUAAAAAGGCCCACAGUAAGGGACUCAGCCAUUACAACCACUGGAAGGGAGACUGUUUCUCUGUCUUCAGAAGCUUCCCCAGUCCUCCCAAUUCCCAACUCUGUGUGGGUAAUUCUCUGCUGCCAUUAUCCACGAAGUUGGAUCUGGAUGGAUUCCCGGUGUGAACUAAACUGGCAAGGCCGCACUGGGAUGUUGACCAGCUGCUGAUGCAGAAAACGCCUGUUCCUUCUUUGAUUUGUGGCUCCUGGUCCUGGCCACCUCAUUGCUCCCCCUGUUCUCAUGAGGAGUCAGUGCCCUGGAACAAGGCCCCAGGAGUUUCUACCAUAAGGGACUCAACUUUACAGCUAGGAGAGACCACAAAACUAGUUUCUAGGAAUACUUUCCAUUUCAAGAGGACAACUUUAAUAAGGUCACUGAGGGCUGCUUCCUAUCUAUUGUCUGGGUGUUUCUCCAGCCUGGCAGCUGCUUCAGCAACAGAACUAAAGUCAGGCAGCCCCUAACGCUGAACGUAGGGCCCAGAACAAUCUACUAAAUGAAAGAUGGAGACUUGAUGUCAAUCCCACUAUAGGAGAUUUUCUUACCUUAUUUUUUGUUUUUUCCUUAGUCUUGCAGGAUUCCAAGGUAUUGUGUACAAAUGUUUUUCUUAGUUUUUCACACCUUUGAGCUUGAGGUGGUUGCAAAACAGCAGGUCUUAGGACAUGAUCGGAAUGUUUCACAGGACCUUAAAAAAACAGAAUUAAGGAGUCACUAUAUCUUUAGUGACAUACUUCUUCCUCCAGAUUUUUGACUAAUUUAAUGUCUAUUUUCUAAAGUCAUUAUUAAGUGAGGGAUUAAUGUUGACUGAUCAACGUCAAAAUAGCCAGUGAAUUGCUUAGUGCUUACUUCAGACUUAGUUUUUACCCACUACCUAUUCAUCUCGACCCUGGGACUUGGUUUACCAAAUUUGUUUUUUCACAUUUUGUCACUUGACCUACCUCCAGAUCCUAACACCCAUACAACAAAUUAAACUAUAAAUGGUAAAAUGUAAAAUUUCAGAGGCUCUUAUAAUAAACUACAUACCUUGUUCUGUACUGUUCAUAUCCACAUUCCUUUGCACAAGAGUUGAUGUCAUAAAAACAUUGUUUUUCUUCA